UGCCAGACUCCUACGGGAGGCAGCAGUGAGGGAUAUUGGUCAAUGGGGGAAACCCUGAACCAGCAACGCCGCGUGAGGGAAGACGGUUUUCGGAUUGUAAACCUCUGUCCUCUGUGAAGAUAAUGACGGUAGCAGAGGAGGAAGCUCCGGCUAACUACGUGCCAGCAGCCGCGGUAAUACGUAUGGUGCAAGCGUUAUCCGGAUUUACUGGGUGUAAAGGGAGCGCAGGCGGCACGGCAAGCCUGAUGUGAAAGCCCGCGGCCCAACCGCGGGACUGCAUCGGGAACUACCGGGCUGGAGUGCCGGAGAGGUAGGCGGAAUUCCUAGUGUAGCGGUGAAAUGCGUAGAUAUUAGGAGGAACACCAGUGGCGAAGGCGGCCUACUGGACGGUGACUGACGCUGAGGCUCGAAAGCGUGGGGAGCAAACAGGAUUAGAUACCCCUGUA
Molecule: ribosomal RNA, 446 nt
Filed under: uncultured bacterium
Lineage: Bacteria
Description: bacterial SSU rRNA
Rfam family: Bacterial small subunit ribosomal RNA
Source: RNAcentral